UAGGGAAUCUUCGGCAAUGGGGGCAACCCUGACCGAGCAACGCCGCGUGAGUGAAGAAGGUUUUCGGAUCGUAAAGCUCUGUUGUAAGUCAAGAACGGGUGUGAGAGUGGAAAGUUCACACUGUGACGGUAGCUUACCAGAAAGGGACGGCUAACUACGUGCCAGCAGCCGCGGUAAUACGUAGGUCCCGAGCGUUGUCCGGAUUUAUUGGGCGUAAAGCGAGCGCAGGCGGUUUGAUAAGUCUGAAGUUAAAGGCUGUGGCUCAACCAUAGUUCGCUUUGGAAACUGUCAAACUUGAGUGCAGAAGGGGAGAGUGGAAUUCCAUGUGUAGCGGUGAAAUGCGUAGAUAUAUGGAGGAACACCGGUGGCGAAAGCGGCUCUCUGGUCUGUAACUGACGCUGAGGCUCGAAAGCGUGGGGAGCGAACAGGAUUAGAUACCCUGGUAGUCCACGCCGUAAACGAUGAGUGCUAGGUGUUGGAUCCUUUCCGGGGUUCAGUGCCGCAGCUAACGCAUUAAGCACCCCGCCUGGGGAGUACGACCGCAAGGUUGAAAC
Molecule: ribosomal RNA, 554 nt
Filed under: uncultured bacterium
Lineage: Bacteria
Description: partial 16S ribosomal RNA
Rfam family: Bacterial small subunit ribosomal RNA
Source: RNAcentral